This 279-nucleotide unclassified non-coding RNA is filed under the name plant metagenome. RNAcentral's name for it is "partial contains small subunit ribosomal RNA, internal transcribed spacer 1, and 5.8S ribosomal RNA". The record is from RNAcentral.
UCUCCGUAGGUGAACCUGCGGAGGGAUCACUACAGAAUUGCUAAAGCUCUGACACCCCUGUAUUCCUAUGUGAAUCUGCUUCCGCCGUCUGUCCCCCUGUGCGCCCUUGAAGGGAGACAUUCGUAGACAUUCCCCUGUAGACGGUCUCUCUCUUUACACCACAUACUCUAAUGUUAACAUAGAAUAUUUAAACGCACAACACCAUUUAAUUACAACUUUUAACAACGGACCUCUUGGCUCUCGCACCGACGAAGAACGCCCCAGACCGGAAAACAACAC